Molecule: ribosomal RNA, 253 nt
Filed under: uncultured bacterium
Lineage: Bacteria
Description: partial 16S ribosomal RNA
Rfam family: Bacterial small subunit ribosomal RNA
Source: RNAcentral
UACAGAGGGCGCGAGCGUUAAUCGGAAUUACUGGGCGUAAAGCGCACGUAGUCGGCUUUGCAAGUCGGGUGUGAAAUCCCCGGGCUCAACCUGGGAACUGCAUCCGAGACUGCAUUGCUAGAGUAUGGGAGAGGGAAGCGGAAUUUCUGGUGUAGCAGUGAAAUGCGUAGAUAUCAGAAGGAACAUCAGUGGCGAAGGCGGCUUCCUGGACCAAUACUGACGAUCAGGUGCGAAAGCGUGGGGAGCAAACAGG